This 462-nucleotide ribosomal RNA is filed under the name uncultured beta proteobacterium. RNAcentral's name for it is "bacterial SSU rRNA". It matches the Rfam family "Bacterial small subunit ribosomal RNA", at positions 192 to 645 of the family's 1533-position model. The record is from RNAcentral. Lineage: Bacteria; Pseudomonadati; Pseudomonadota; Betaproteobacteria.
GGAAGCAGGGGAUCGCAAGACCUCGCGCUCAUGGAGCGGCCGAUGUCGGAUUAGCUAGUUGGCGGGGUAACGGCCCACCAAGGCGACGAUCCGUAGCUGGUCUGAGAGGAUGAUCAGCCACACUGGGACUGAGACACGGCCCAGACUCCUACGGGAGGCAGCAGUGGGGAAUUUUGGACAAUGGGGGCAACCCUGAUCCAGCCAUGCCGCGUGAGUGAAGAAGGCCUUCGGGUUGUAAAGCUCUUUCGGCCGGAACGAAAUCGGGCGCGUGAAUAACGCGCCUGGAUGACGGUACUGGAAGAAGAAGCACCGGCUAACUGCGUGCCAGCAGCCGCGGUAAUACGUAGGGUGCGAGCGUUAAUCGGAAUUACUGGGCGUAAAGCGUGCGUAGGCGGUUUCGCAAGUCAGAUGUGAAAUCCCCGGGCUUAACCUGGGAACUGCGUUUGAAACUACAAAGCUAGA